RNAcentral lists this small RNA (84 nucleotides) under Gillisia limnaea. RNAcentral describes it as "Flavo-1 RNA". It matches the Rfam family "Flavo-1 RNA". Lineage: Bacteria; Pseudomonadati; Bacteroidota; Flavobacteriia; Flavobacteriales; Flavobacteriaceae. RNAcentral also lists the same sequence under 1 other name. The record is from RNAcentral.
UUGCAGCCGCGUUAGGGAUAGAAGAGGAAAUCCCGUCUAAAUUUCUAAAAUUUUGACGGAUUGAAACGGAUAGCCCGUCCCGCC